AUGGAGUUUUUUGCUCUUGUUGUCCAGGCUGGAGUGCAAUGGCAUGAUCUUGGCUCACUACAACCUCCGCCUCCCAGGUUCAAGUGAUUCUCCUGCCUCAGCCUCCCGAGUAGCUGGGACUACAGAGGCAUCCUAGGGCAUCCAGAGGCCUUCAGGGUGGCCUGAAGUCUCCCACCGCACCACCUUUGGGUUAACCUAGCCUGUCCCACAGAAGAUGAUGAAGUUGGUUCUGGAGGCAAGCUGACUCAGAUGGAUUCUCGAUUUUAUGAUGCCGGACUGGAAACCGGUCUUGGGAGAAACUUCCCUGGGGCCUUGGGCUAAGAAGCACGCACUCCAUGGAGUUCUGCAGGCCAAGGUGCAGACAUGAG
This is a long non-coding RNA of Gorilla gorilla gorilla (western lowland gorilla), 368 nucleotides long. RefSeq lists it as uncharacterized. The record is from RefSeq and is a predicted model, not a curated record. Lineage: Eukaryota; Metazoa; Chordata; Mammalia; Primates; Hominidae. The transcript has 3 exons.